This 531-nucleotide ribosomal RNA is filed under the name Triticum aestivum (bread wheat). RNAcentral's name for it is "partial small subunit ribosomal RNA". The record is from RNAcentral. Lineage: Eukaryota; Viridiplantae; Streptophyta; Magnoliopsida; Poales; Poaceae.
AUGGCUGCACCUACUCCGGCCUUGCCGGACUCCUCCAACUCCACGCCCGCGCUCGUCUUUAAACGACUCACGCCCGCCGAGAUGGAUGAACGGCGCGCUAAGGGUCUCUGCUUCAAUUGUGACGAGAAGUUCGCGCGGGGCCAUCGCUGCAAACGGCUGUUCUAUAUUCAAUCCGCCGACGCCGAAGAGGAGCAGUUUGAGGAUUUCCAGGAAGCACAAAUCUCACUCUUGGUUGUUACCGGAAUUCCCACCAGCGACACAAUGCAGGUCACUCUUCGCAUCGGGGACCGUGACUUGGUCGCCUUGCUUGAUUCAGGCAGCGCUCAUAACUUCAUCCACGAAGAGUUGGCCACCAUCGUCAGGCUGCCUUUCUCCUCCAAUCGUCGUUUGGGAGUCACGGUCGCUAAUGGCGAUAAGGUGACCUGUCGGGGACUCCUUCAGCAGGCUGCGAUCACCAUUGACAAGGAGCGUUUCGUUGUUGAUCUACAUGCCAUUCCAUUGGGCGGGUUCGACAUCGUCUUCGGUACAUGA